UACGGAGGGGGCUAGCGUUGUUCGGAAUUACUGGGCGUAAAGCGCACGUAGGCGGCUUUGUAAGUUAGAGGUGAAAGCCCGGGGCUCAACUCCGGAAUUGCCUUUAAGACUGCAUCGCUCGAAUUGUGGAGAGGUAAGUGGAAUUCCCAGUGUAGAGGUGAAAUUCGUAGAUAUUGGGAAGAACACCGGUGGCGAAGGCGGCGACCUGGUCCUUGACUGACGCUGAGGCGCGAAAGCGUGGGGAGCAAACAGG
Molecule: ribosomal RNA, 253 nt
Filed under: uncultured bacterium
Lineage: Bacteria
Description: partial 16S ribosomal RNA
Rfam family: Bacterial small subunit ribosomal RNA
Source: RNAcentral